RNAcentral lists this ribosomal RNA (397 nucleotides) under uncultured bacterium. RNAcentral's name for it is "bacterial SSU rRNA". It matches the Rfam family "Bacterial small subunit ribosomal RNA", at positions 29 to 428 of the family's 1533-position model. The record is from RNAcentral.
AAUGAACGUUGGCGGCGUGGAUUAGGCAUGCAAGUCGAGCGUGAUUUUGUAGAUUGAAACUUCGGUCGAUUUCUACAAUUGAAAGCGGCGAAAGGGAUAGUAACACGUAGAUCACGUACCCUCAGGUCAGGGAUAGCGUCGGGAAACUGACGGUAAUACCAGAUAAUGUCUCCGGACCAAAGAUUUAUUGCCUGAGGAGCGGUCUGCGUCCUAUUAGUUAGUUGGCGAGGUAAUGGCUCACCAAGACGAAGAUGGGUAGCGGGUGUGAGAGCACGACCGCAUCACUGGGACUGAGACACUGCCCAGACACCUACGGGUGGCUGCAGUCGAGAAUCUUCCGCAAUGGGCGAAAGCCUGACGGAGCGACGCCGCGUGCGGGACGAAGGCCUCGGUGUAA